Molecule: ribosomal RNA, 253 nt
Filed under: uncultured bacterium
Lineage: Bacteria
Description: partial 16S ribosomal RNA
Rfam family: Bacterial small subunit ribosomal RNA
Source: RNAcentral
UACAGAGGGUGCGAGCGUUGUUCGGAAUUAUUGGGCGGAAAGGGCGCGUAGGCGGUGCGGUAAGUCACCUGUGAAAUCUCCUGGCUCAACUGGGAGCUUGCAGGCGAAACUGCCGUGCUGGAGUGUGGGAGAGGUGCGUGGAAUUCCUGGUGUAGCGGUGAAAUGCGUAGAUAUCAGGAGGAACACCUGUGGCGAAAGCGGCGCACUGGACCACAACUGACGCUGAGGCGCGAAAGCUAGGGGAGCAAACAGG